GACGAACGCUGGCGGCGUGCUUAACACAUGCAAGUCGAACGGAAAGGCCCUGCUUGCAGGGUACUCGAGUGGCGAACGGGUGAGUAACACGUGGGUGAUCUGCCCUGCACUUCGGGAUAAGCCUGGGAAACUGGGUCUAAUACCGGAUAGGAGCCAUUUUUAGUGUGAUGGUUGGAAAGUUUUGUCGGUGUAGGAUGAGCUCGCGGCCUAUCAGCUUGUUGGUGGGGUAAUGGCCUACCAAGGCGGCGACGGGUAGCCGGCCUGAGAGGGUGGACGGCCACAUUGGGACUGAGAUACGGCCCAGGCUCCUACGGGAGGCAGCAGUGGGGAAUAUUGCACAAUGGGCGCAAGCCUGAUGCAGCGACGCCGCGUGGGGGAUGACGGCCUUCGGGUUGUAAACUCCUUUCGCUAGGGACGAAGCUUUUUGUGACGGUACCUAGAUAAGAAGCACCGGCUAACUACGUG
RNAcentral lists this ribosomal RNA (465 nucleotides) under uncultured bacterium. RNAcentral describes it as "partial 16S ribosomal RNA". It matches the Rfam family "Bacterial small subunit ribosomal RNA", at positions 28 to 507 of the family's 1533-position model. The record is from RNAcentral.